GGCAGGGGCGGGUGCAGGCUCAGCCCCUCGGUGUCCCAGGCAGCUAGGGGGUGGGGUGCUGUCUGCACAGGCAGGCUGAGCUUAGGACCGAGGCCCCUCUCUGCAGCCUGGUACAGGCAGUGUCCACAUAGCCCAGGACUUCUCCACCUCAGCACUAAUGACACAUAGGGGCAGAUGAUUCUCGGGAGCGGGGCGUGAGGCUGUCCUGUACAUUGUAGGAUGUUGAGCAGCAUCCCCGGCCUCUACCUAUUAGAUGGCGAUAGCAUCCCCCGUCUCAAAUUAUGUAAGGCAAAAAGAUUUUCAAAUGUCCCCUGGGGACAAAAUCAACCCGAGUUAAGAGCCACUGACUGAGACCGGCAGCUCUCUCUCCUCACCCACCAGUUCCCAUGUUCCAUGCUUUUCCUGGGUAAUGAACCCCCGUCAGGGCCCAGGAGCUGACUGCAGCAGCUGCUUCAUGUACAUCUCACUGCAUCCUCCCACCAACGCUGUGAUGUGGAGGUGAAGAAGAUCUCCAUUUUACAGGAGAAGAAACGAAGACCUGGAAAGCACUGAUGACUUCAGGUUGCAGCCAGCCAUCAGGGAGCCAGCAAUAGAUGCAAGGAUUGGAGGACUCUGAGGCUAAUAUGGAGUAGAAUGCUCAGUAAAUGCCAGCUGCAGUGGGGUGGCCAUCCCAGGGGAUGAUGCCCCAGUGCCCAGGUCCUCUGUGCAAGUUCAUCCCAAGCUGUGCCAUCCCUUCCAAAUCCUUCACAAGCCAGAUGCAGGAGCGAAUCUUGUCACUGAGUUGCAGUCAUGGCCUAAGGGUGUUUCAGGAUAAACAGAAGAAGCAGAGGACAGCUGAUCUGGAUGUGUUGCCUCCCCCACUAACAUUAUUGUUACCCUCUUGGAAUUAGAGACCAUGCCAGCCUGUAUCUCCUCCUUCCUCUCUGUCCUGUGCAGAGCUGAGUGUGUCCUCAAUGUUUACAUAAAAUGCCAUAAAUCAUGGAAUCUUUAAGCACAAGAGACCUCAGAGGCCAACUCCAAGCCACAAACAAGGAACCCUGAAUCGAAAGGGAAUCUAAAGCUUCAGGCAAAGAGAGAGGAGAUUGGAUGGUGUGUCAAGCACAGUGCUACCCCCUUUAUAGGCAUGGCAUUGAGGUAGGACAUGGGACUUGACUCUGGAGGCAGGGCUCAGGUACGGGACCAAACUGAAGACUAGCUAAAAUAGGGACAGGGUGAAAACACCUUUCCAUAGGAAAUGCCUGUCAGUGUGCCAUGUCAGUUUAUCAUUGCCAUGGCAACACCUGGAAGUUACUGCCCCUUUCCAUGGCAACAACCCGAUGACUGGAAAGUUUCCAACCCUUUUCUAGAAAUUUCUGCAUAAUGCACCCUUUAAUUUGCAUAUAAUUAAAAGUGGGUAUAAAUAUGACUGCAGGACUGCCUCUGAGCUGCUACUCUGGGCACAUUGCCUAUGGGGUAGCCCUGCUCUGCAAGAAGAAGUACCUCUGCUGCUGUGGUACACUGCCACUUCAAGAAAAGUUGCUAACACCACUGGCUAGCCCUUGAAGCCCUUGAAUUAUUUCCUAGGCAAAGCCAAGAACUCUCGCAAGCUAAACCCCAAUUUGGGGGGCUCACCUGCCCUGCAUCAGCGUAAUUUAAUACUCACAGCUACCCUCCAAAGCCAGCAUCAUGAUACCCACCUGAGAGGUCAGAAAACCGAGACACGGAGUGAUGGCGGCUGACUCAGUUCCCCUAGCUGGGACUCACAGCUGGAUGCAAGCUGCCUAACCUGAGGCUUCAGGCUCUAUCCACAGUCUGCAGGCAUACUGACUGGCCUCUGUUUAUGCAUCUGUGAAAUGGGGAUGAUGAGGGCAAGUAUUCAUACUAUGCCCCACCCAGCAGGCUUCAGGCAAUGAGGAACUAUAAGCAUGGAUGUGAAUGUGUUCUGGACAUGGAAUGGAUGAUACAAAGAGAAUGGAUACUCAGGUGCCCAGAGAGCCCUGGCUUUGUUCCUGGAAGUGGUCAGAUAAAAAAACCAAAAAAAAAAAAACAGUUUGGAUGUGGAGUCAGGAAGAACUAGGUUCAAAUAUUACCUUUUCCACUUAAUCAGUGCCUGACCUUUGGCAGGUAACUCUACCAACCCUUCCACCCGCCUUUUGUAAAUAUUCACAGAGUGAGGGUCAUGUGCAAGAUACAGAAGUCAGUCUGGAUUCAAAUAGGCUCUGCUGGGGUGACAUGUAGGAAUCUGCACAAGUGAUUUGUCAUCGUCACCAUCAUCAUCACUGAGGCACAGCACACAUAUAAUACAAUGCAUAAAUCUAAAAGCAAAACCUGAAGAAUUUCUGCAUGUGCAUAGUGUUGUAGACUAAAUUGUGUCCUCCCACCCCCUGAAAAGUUAUCUAUUGAAGUCCUGACCUUCAUAACUUGGGAAAAUGGCUGUAUUUGAAGACAAGAUCUUUAAAGAAGUAAAGUAAAAUGAGGCCAUUAGGGUGGGCCCUAAUCCAUUUUACUGAUGUCAUGCACGGAUGCAUGUGUACAGAGGAAAGGCCAUGUGAGGACACGGCGAGAAGACGGCCACCUGCAAGCCAAGGAGAGAGAUCUCAAGAGAGACCAAACCUGCUGGCCCCUGAUCUUACACUUCCAGCUUCCAGAAUUGUAAGAAAGUAAACUUCGGUUGUCCAACCUACCCAGUCUGUGGUAUUUUGUUAUGGUAGCCUGGUCAGACUAAUACACAUAACCUUGUGUAACCAGCACUACGAUUAGGAGCAGAAUAUUUCCAAUAACCCAGCAGCCCCUGCCAUCAUGACCUUCUCAAUCUUGCCCUCUACCCCCAGAAGUAAUCAUUGCUCUGAUCCCUGUUAUCAUCAACUAGUUCUGUCCAUUUCUGAACUUCAUAUAGGUGGAACCAUACAAUAUGUUUCCUUUGUGCCUGGCUUCUUUGACUCAGCAUUCCAUUUCUGAAAUGCAUCUUUCCUAUUGGGUGCAGCCGUCAUUCAUUCUUUUUCUUUGCUGUAUAAUAUUCCACCGUGUGACUUCAUCACAGUUUGUUUAUCCAUUUCCCCAUUGAUACACAUUUUGGUUGUUUCUAUUUUUUAGCUCUUUUGAAUAAAGCUCUUAUGGGCAUUCUUG
This 3105-nucleotide long non-coding RNA is filed under the name Homo sapiens (human). RNAcentral's name for it is "PREDICTED lncRNA (TCONS_00176790)". The record is from RNAcentral. Lineage: Eukaryota; Metazoa; Chordata; Mammalia; Primates; Hominidae.